UACGGAGGAUUCAAGCGUUAUCCGGAUUUAUUGGGCGUAAAGGGCUCGUAGGCGGUUCGUCGCGUCCGGUGUGAAAGUCCAUCGCUUAACGGUGGAUCCGCGCCGGGUACGGGCGGGCUUGAGUGCGGUAGGGGAGACUGGAAUUCCCGGUGUAGCGGUGGAAUGCGUAGAUAUCGGGAGGAACACCAGUGGCGAAGGCGGCCUGCUGGACAUUAACUGACGCUGAGGCGCGAAAGCGUGGGGAGCAAACAGG
Molecule: ribosomal RNA, 253 nt
Filed under: uncultured Bifidobacterium sp.
Lineage: Bacteria; Bacillati; Actinomycetota; Actinomycetes; Bifidobacteriales; Bifidobacteriaceae
Description: partial 16S ribosomal RNA
Rfam family: Bacterial small subunit ribosomal RNA
Source: RNAcentral